Molecule: unclassified non-coding RNA, 3534 nt
Filed under: Hevea brasiliensis (rubber tree)
Lineage: Eukaryota; Viridiplantae; Streptophyta; Magnoliopsida; Malpighiales; Euphorbiaceae
Source: RNAcentral
AACAAAUCCGUCACAAUACAAACUGUUAAAUUUGGGAAACCCUAGCACAAAAAGUGCAAUCAUGUGCUAGUCAUAUUUUCCAACAAAGUUAGUAAUUAUUUCCAUGAAUCUAAAAGUUCAGCCAAAAAUGAUCUCUGAAGUCUCUAAUCACAAUUUCAUAAAACAAAUCUAAGCUAAAGAUAAUAAUACAAGAUUAAGUACAGGACAAUCAACUACUUUAACAUGGAAUAAACUUGAAGUAUCAAACUGAAAAAGACAAUUCUAAUGCAGAAAAGCUUGUAGAGAACACUGCCAUAUUUACAUGAUGGCCUCAAAUAAAUAUCUAAAUUUAAAACAUCAAGCUUUUGACCUUGCGGCAGGAGGUUUCCAUUUCCCUAAUCUCUCCUACUAUGCUUCCUGUUUCUUUCAUCCCUAUCAUUUCUACUUCGCUUCCUGCUUCUUUCAUCCCUAUCACCUCUACUCCUGCUUCUUUCAUCCCCAUCACUUCUACUCCGCUUCACGUGUCUUUCAUCCUCAUCAGAACUUGAUGAAUCUGACUCUGAUUCAGACUCCGAACCACCAGACCCUGAUUCAUCAUCUGAUUCAGAUUCUGACUCAGAUUCUGAGACAGGUUUUUGCUGUUGCAUGAUAAGCCGUGGCAUAUUCUUCAAGUAUUCGCGCAAAUUUUCGGUGAUGCCACCAAGCCCGAUGGAUGUGAAGAAAUUGAUGGAAAAGCGUGUAUUCUUUGGAUUAUCUCUAGGGAAAAUAGAUUCAAAUGAGUCUUGCAUGGCAGGAUCUGUAAGGCGCUCAUUCAAUGUGCGGAUUCCCAGAUGCUCUGACAACUCCUGGAAGAGAAUCUUGAUAAAUAUACGAGAAGAGGAAGUGGUGUCCUCUUCAGUUAACCGUAUAUAGGCCAAUACAUGCCAAGGCAGGGCAUCAGUACCAAGUAAAUGGGCAAAAAACUUUGCCACAUUACGUAACUUAUUUGUUUCUAGCCGAUGAAUCAUGGAAUAUUGUUGAACAAAGCAUUUCUCAAAAUUUUCUUGGUAGACUUUGUUGAUCAUGCAAAAUCGCUGCCCCAAAAGACCAUAGUACCGGAGAUAAGUUCUCUCCUGACUGCAACAUUCCAAAAGCAUGAUGCAUAAUUCCAUCUCCUGUCCUGGCUCAAGUUUAAUUUUCAGUAACUUGUGGCCAGCCUCCUCAAAAUCUACACUGGACAUGAUAGUUAGAUAAAUUGUCCUCCGAAGAUUUACAAGAUUAGUUUCAGUCUCAUCUUUUAUUUGCAUCUGUUGUUCGUCGUCGUCCUCCUCCUCCUCCAUAGCUGCUUACUCCUUCCGAAUCCAUUAGUAGCAGUAGCAGAAGAUUCAUCAUCAGCAAUCAUAUCAAGAUUCCAACAAUACCUCCAAAUCGACACUGCCCAACCCAACCCCGGAUACCACGAAGCAGCCGAUUUCCUUAUUUCUCAGGCUAAAUCCAUCGGCCUCGAAUUCCAAUCCAUUGAGUUCGUCGAUGGCAAGCCACUUGUUCUCCUCAAGUGGGCUGGCUCUCAACCUACCCUCCCCUCUAUCCUCCUUUAUUCUCAUACCGAUGUCGUCCCGGUCGAGCAGCACAAGUGGGCAUACCCUGCCUUUGGUGCCCACCUGGAUUCCCAUGGUAACAUCUAUGCUAGAGGUUCCCAGGACAUGAAGUGCGUUGGUAUGCAGUAUUUGGAAGCUGUUCGCCGCUUGAAGUCUUCUGGGUUCCAGCCGAUUCGAUCCAUUUACCUAGCUUUUGCCCCCGAUGAAGAAAUAGGCGGCCAUGAUGGUGCUGAGAAGUUUGCUGAUUCUGAUAUCUUCAGGACCAUGAAUGUGGGAAUAGUGCUCGAUGAAGGAUUAGCAUCGCCGUCUGAGAAGUACAGGCCGUUCUUUGCAGAGAGGAGCCCAUGGUGGCUGGUGAUCAAGGCCUUUGGGGCUCCAGGCCAUGGAGCGAAGCUUUAUGACAAUAGUGCAAUGGAAAAUCUUUUGAAAAGCAUUGAGAGUGUGAGGAGAUUUCGGGCUUCUCAGUUUGAUUUGGUGAAGUCUGGUUUGAAGGAGGAGGGUGAGGUUAUUUCUGUUAACAUGGUCUUUCUUAAGGCUGGCACUCCAUCUCCAACUGGAUUUGUCAUGAAUUUGCAGCCAUCUGAAGCAGAAGCAGGUUUUGAUAUUCGGGUUCCACCAACUGCUGAUCCUGAAUCAUUGGAAAGGCGAAUUGCUGAAGAAUGGGCACCUGUUUCACGCAACAUGACGUACCAGGUGCUAAUAAACUCAUUGAAACAUUUAAUAUCCCUAGUUGUCUUGUAUCAGGAAAAAAGUGAAACACAGUUUCUUUGCUCAUGGCUGGCUACCAGUGAUAAUUUCUGCAUAGAAGGUAUUGAUGUUUAUGCAUAAAUCAUUUAGCAAAAAUUUUUUUGGAUUGUAUUUAGUAAUUAACUUUGAAGAGAAUCUAUUUUAUCUUCACACACUAUAUGAAUUGAGAUUGGCCAUUUCCAAAAAAAUAGAAAAUGGAAGGAGCAAAAGUUGUUCAAUUUUGAUUAUGACGCUGAAGGAUGUUAUAUCCAUGUUUAGGAUCAUUUUUGGUGUGACUAGCAUUAGCUAAUGGCCUUUUCAAUCUAGUGUGGCUAGUAAUAAGAGCCUAUCCUAUAGCACAAGGCCACCUGAAUCUUUUGCAAAUAUUUUGAUAAACAUAUUUUAAGAAUUGGUGAUGCAAGAGAAGUAAACUUGAUUUUCUGGUUUAAGGUUACUGUUUAUCAGAAAGUACUGUUCUCUGAAUAUACAGCGUGUAAGAACAUAUGGUUAUAAGAAGGAUGAAUGUGAUUGUAGAUAUAUGCCUAUCUUAAGUAGUUAAUGGAAAAGGCUUCCCUUUUGAAUAUGGUAUGGCAUGCAUGUAAAACAUGUGACUAGGAACAACUUUGCUAUGCAUGUUUUUCUAAUUACUUUUGUAGCUUGGGCAGUUUAAGCAGAAAGCUACCGUUUAUGACAGCUUUGGGAGGCCACUCCUUACAAAGACUGACAAUUCUAACCCAUGGUGGGCCUUGCUUGAAGAAGCUGUCAAAAAAGCAAAUGGAAAACUUGGUAAACCAGAGAUCUUUCCUGCUGCCACAGAUUCUCGUUACUUCCGCUUAAAAGGGCUACCAUCAAUCGGUUUCUCCCCCAUGGCAAACACACCUAUUCUUCUGCAUGAUCAUAAUGAGUUCCUGAACCGAGCCCAGUACCUGAAAGGCAUUGAUAUCUACGAGUCGAUAAUUAAAGUUUAUACAUCUUAUGUCGUCCAGGCCAGCAAUGAAGGCACCAAAGAUGAAUUGUAAGGUAGCUCUGAUCAUUACACAUCUUCAAGGCCACACGUUAUGCAAGUUUCUGUUCUUGUAAAAUAAUGAUUUAGAUUAGAUGCAUGGAUUGGUGAUGUAUCAAUAAUUAGGCAAAACUGGAUAAGAGCAGAACUUAAUUCAUCUUCAUGUCAUUGCCCUUCAAAUUUUCAAAAUAUUAUUUCUUAACUCUUAUUAAUUCAUUCCAAAACAAUUAUGCAGCCCAUGUCUAUGAA